AAGCAUUUUAUCACAUAAUAUCAAAGCUAUAGUCAUGCAAAUCCCCUUCAAGAAGCAUAGGUUUAUGUGAGAUGCAUCAAAACAUUUUAUUGAAGAACAAAGUGAAGGUGUAGUUUUAUAUCUCUUGAUCUUGACUUGAGACCAAGGAUUGACCACCUCCAAGCUCUUUGUUCUUGGAACUCCUUGAGCCUAACCUCCCUCCUUGCUUCCUCCACCUUGCUAGAAUAAGUGCUCCUUGGUUCUCCUUUAGUCUCCAAGAUUGAAGACCUCUAAAGAUCCACACCCAUUAGUGUAGUGAGAUGGAUGGAUGAAUGACCAAAACGAGAAAAGAUGAUUAGCUAAAAUCUCCUCUUGAUGGCCGGCCUUGUGAGUUGAGAGAGAGAUUGUGUUUUUCUCUAUUUUGGUGAAAAUAAACUCACAAAAACCCUAAUGAAACUUUUCACUAAAAGUUCCUUUUAUAUCUCAAAGAAAGUUAGCCAACAACUUGACUCCCUCUCUCUCCCUUUCCCUUUAUUUGGCCGGCCCCUUUGUGUUGUUUGGAGUUUUGGGCUUUUAUCAUUUCAAGUCAUCCUAUGCUUGAAUAAAAGGACCCAAGGAGUUUGGGCCCAAUGGGCCCAAAUGAACCCGAACUUUUCUUUAAGCCCAAAACGAUCUUUUAUCGCUUUUAUGAUUUCUUUAGACUUUCUAAUUAAUCACAACACUUAAUUAAUCCAAUUAAUUAUUUCCAUCAUCCAUUAGUUGUCUCACUACAAGAGUGUAUCGGUGUACAAUCAUUUUAGGUUCUAAUUAGCAAGGCAGUGAGGUGAUUGGCACCAAUCCAAUUGAUUAUAUUUAAUCCAAUCACUUAGUGAAUUAAAACUUACUUUUAAUUCUCCUUCUUCUUUGACGACUACUUAUUUAAUCAUGUAGAAGAAUUCACAAGCCAUGAGUGACAUCUAACCAUAUAUCAUGACUACCCAAGCUAAUGUAGAAUUUGUUCGGAGAACCUAUUCAGUUGGAAUUACAAUGUAAUUCGAUCCUUCUCUAAAACAAUACUCUCAAUCACAUUAUUAGGGUAUGGAUAUAUUAUUUCAAACCCCUAAUGUGAUUAUUCCAUGUUAUAUGAUUCAAUUGAGUCGUAUAGGAACGCUUUCCUUUAUUACGCUCGAUACUUCGGCCGAAGAUUCCCGAAUCAUAUCUUAGAGUAUUCAUCCUCUCAUAACGAGGAUUAGAGAUCCCUUGUUGAUCAUCCACAUGCCUCUGAGAAUAAAUCACUGACCCCAACAAUGCAUAGAACACACCCAAGAUGAGGUGUGGUCACGUCUCAUUAUCAAAAUGAUCAGCAACGUAUCCCCAAGACAACUAUGAUGUCUCAGGUCAAAGGAUUACUUACAUUAUUCCAACCAUUAGAGUUACUUGCUUGACAUGUGUGUAGACCUCCAUGCAAGUACUCUUGUUCGAUUGUAUUCAGUGAACUCAUUCCCUUAAUGAGCACCUACAUACAUGUCUUAGUGUCACUACACGAAUGGGAUGAGACUUUCCAUCCUUCCAAUUAAAGGGGACAUAGUAUGUACUGGUCUAUGCAUUGUCAGUAUCCCUCUGACAAUCCUAUGACCAGGAACCUUUUUGGACAUGAUGGUUAUGUGAAGAAGGUCUCUGUAGUCUAACAUCAUUAGAUUACUUCUUCCAUCGAUCCAUUGUCCAUGGAUUCACUAUUUAGGACAUAUAUCGUUUAUUGAGAUAGUCUUAAUUAGUAUCUUUGCCUUUUGAUGUAUAAGAGUCAUCUAUACACACAUUCAUUAUCCUGAAAGGUUUCUUCCAAAGAUUGACUUUCAGGGCAUAUCUCCAACAAUCUCCCACUUGCACUAAAGUCAAUCACUAGUGUAUCUUAUAGAUGCUAGUCGAGUGAACUUAUGCUCAUAGGUAAACUUGGUUAUGUAUUAAUCCUUUUAAUUUAAAAGGGAUUUACUUAUCAAAUGUUUCUAAAAUAUUUGACGAUGUCUCUUUCUUGUGUUCAAAUACUUUGAUGAGACCUUGAUUCCAUGGCUUGAGCUAUCGCCCCAUUACGUCGUAGUGUCCUACUAACAACCUUAUGGUUUGGAUUCAAUCAUUGGUUCUAUAAGAACCCCUUCUAUUCAAAACACCUUUUGAAGCAGUUUCUAAAACUAUAUAUAUCGACAUAUAUUUCAUUUGUAUACUUUAUAUAUACUUUGCUCCAACCUUGAGACCAUUGUAGUACAAUACUAACAAUACAUUCAUAUGAUUAGUACUUCAUCCAUUAUGAAGUUCCAUUUGUUAAAAUGGGUUAUUUUCACUUUGGUUUAUAACCUAAGUGAAUGCACGCUUCCAGAGUCCGACUCUGAUGUUCCUUUCUUAAAGGCAAUAAUACUCUAUCAAUUGUUACGGUUCUGAUCCUAGGCUAUAGUAAUAUCUUAAAGUGACAACCCCAAUGGUUUUUCACCUUUGUAUAUCAUCUCACAAGUCCAUACAUGUGUCCCUUUUGUGAUUUUGUGACACAUUCAUUAUAAGGGUCACGAAAGUGAUUUUCUAUCAUAUAGGAAAAUACUUUCUCAAAUCUUCAACAUUUGAGAUUUAAUUUCCCCAUAUAACAUCCUUGAGAUAGCCUUUCUAUAUCAUUAAGUCCAAUUUCAAGUCUAUACUUCAAAAUUGACCGUGUCACGUUUUGUCAUUUUUAAGUAACAUUUAUGUUUUAUCAAGUCUAUCAAAUAGACUUUAUUCAUAUCUUGUUGCUCAAAUUAUGACAUCACUCCCACUGGCCUUGUUGUAACUUAGCAUUUAUUCAAAAACUUAACACUUAUAUUUUCUCGAUUUGAAUGCAUAUUGCUCCCACUAACUUGUCUUGGAUCUAUUGACAAUCAUUGAGAUCCAUUAGCUUAUUGAUGAUGUCUCAACAAUUUUGGGACUAUCAACAACUCUAGCUAACACAAGUUAUUUAAACGAACAUACACAAAAGAAUUCCUUCUCAAGUAAUUCCAUUUGAAAUGUGUGACUUGCCUUAUCAAGUCCAUUCAUUUAAAUUAUAUGGUGUCAUACACCAUACUUCAAGUUUUAGUCAUACUAAGACCUUUAAUGUAGUCAUAUAAGAAUUAUCCAAGUCAUUAGUGGAAGCAUGGCUCUUACUAAGGAUAUAGAAACUCAACCAUACCUUCUAGGUGAUUGAUAUAAUUCUUUAUCAAAACUACAUAGAGCGUUAUAGUUACAUGAGGUGCUGAAUUUGGAUUGUCUUGUUGUUAAACCAUAUGUUGUGACUCAUUUUGAAACUAUUCCCUUUUGUUUCAUUAAUUUGUCCAUAUGCUUUGUUAUUAGCUUGUUCUCAUAAAAGAGAAUGAUGGACAACUCCCAACAUAUAACCAUUUUAUGCUAGGUUGACGAAACCAACAUUCAUAGACUAUUCUUUAGAAUGUUACACAACAUAGAAUUUCAACGUUUUGAAGAGCUUGAGUCCUUUAACAAUUAAAAUUACAAACUCAUAAUAAUAGUGAUGUACUAUUUUCUUUAGACAACUACAAACCAAUCAUAUUCAAGUUUAUAUCCUUUUUCUCACCUCCCACUAUUUCUCAUGACUUUAAUGAGAAACUACAUUAUACAUUCAAAAUGUAUAAACGUGGAGUAUACGAGUAGAGGACAAUGUGGAGUAGCUUUAAAACCUUUCAAGCUUAUUUGUUUCAAUCUCCACUAAGUUGAUGUCUUGUUAUUAAGUGACUAAAGUCUUUAAACAUUUCAUAGAUUUAGACACUUCGUUCUUGGUUUAAUCACUAACACACUUGACAUUUUAAAACAAUUUUAAGAAUGCCCAAUUAGUUGUUCAAAACUACUAAUUGAAUCAAGAGUGAUCUUGGUUAUUGUGGUUAAGUAAGUGAUAACCAUAUAAGAAACGUUUUCUUAUUACUUAUAUCGUUAUAAUGUGAUCUUCCUUUUCUUCAAGAAAGGAAUCUCUAGACCUUUUUCAAUUCAUAUAGAACUCACAUGUAGGCAAUUGGAACCAAAUCUAAAGAUUCAUUGUAUCCAUCUAUGGCCAACACGUGAGAUCUAUCCAUAAUUGAUAAGUCCAAAGUUUGGAUAUCGCAUUACAUAAGUGAUAUAAAUCUUGUAUCUCAACUAGGAUACAACAAGACAAUAUUCAAUUCAUAACACUACUUUGAGGAAAUAAUAUAGUAGAAGGCAUUCAUCACAUUACAUUGAUAUGAUAAUUCAAACAUUCAUAAUGUUCAAUACAAAAGGAAUUAGCUCUAUACAUUUAGAGACUAAUUAUAUACCUUCAUAUAGGCACCAAUAGUGGUCUUCCAUCAUAUGAAGCCACAUAAUAAGUUCUUAACAAAAUAAGAAAGUUUAAAGACUAUCUUUAAGUGCCUAACAAACUUCCUAAGUAGUUAGCAAAAAAUGGUGGCCGAACCCUUCUCCAUCCUUUUCCUUGCUUGUUCAUCUUCUACUUGGCUCAUCCACCUUAUACAAUUGCAUAAGUGAUUAGCUCUUUAUAUCAAAUAUAAAUAUUUAGAAGAUCUAACAAUUAGAAUUGAAGAUCUAACAAUUAGAAUUGAAGAUAAGAACAUAAACCAUACCUUGUGGUUUGUCCUUAAGAGUUGCAAGGUAUAACCUGCAAUUCCUCUUCCAAUGCCCGUCCUUUCCACAGUGGUGGCAAGUCCCCUUGGGCUAUUUUGCCUUCUUUUUCCUCACUCCUCCUUGCGGCUUAGGAGUGGGUGACUUCUUCUCCUUCCCUUUGUCUUUGCCUUGCGGCUUAGCCUUGGAAGUGGAUGGCUUGUUGUAGGCUACUGCAGCAGUCCCCACAACGUUCUCUUUCUUCAUAGUCUUCUCGGCAGUUACUAACAUGUUUAGUAACUCAGAGAGAGUAUUAUCCAUCUUGUUCAUAUUGUAGUUCAUAACGAACUGCGAGAACGAGUCAGAAAAAAAAAGCCAAGAUGAACUCCUGGGCCAAUUCCCCGUCAAAUGGAGUGUCUAGGCUCUCCAAUUGUUCGAUGAGUCGAAUCAUCUUCAGUACAUGUUGAUGCACUGGAGCUCCCUUGACUAUCUUGGUCUUCACAAGUUCACUAACAGUGCUAAAGCGAUGGUUGCGCAUCCUUUCACCAUAUAACUCCGUAAGAUGGAGUAUGAUGGAAGAUGCACUAUCCAUACCCUUGUGCUGUCUCUGCAACUCCUCAUUCAUGGAAGCCAACAAAUAGCAUUUGGCUUGUGUAUCAUCCUCAACGUGCUUGUCAUACUUAGCACGUUCAUCCUCAGUGGCCUCAGGGCCAAGAGGUAUGUGAGGUGGAGCCUUAUCUAGUACGUAAACAAUCUUCUCCAAGGUUAGGAGAAUCUUGACAUUACGAUACCAUGAUGGGAAAUUGUGCCCCUCUAGGCAAUGUUUGUCGAGUAUUUUCGCGAGUGUGCUUCCAACCAUAGCUAAAUACAUAACAAUAAAAUAAAUUAGUUUGAUUGUUGAUAAACGAUUCGGGUCUUUAAACCGAAUGACACCACCCACUAGUUUUGGCAAAUUCCAUAUCCCUCAAGAUGUAAUCCGGGAGAUUUCAAUGAAAGCUCCUAGCGGGUUAUUGGAGGCUCACUAUUACCAAGCCCACCUCACGAUGAUACGAUGUUGGCUAGCAAAAAUAAUAAUGAGAGGGUAUGACUACCCAUUCACAACAACCUCUUGUGAUUACCCAUCUUAUUGGCCUCUAGAGAACAAUGCCUCACAAUGAUAUGAUGUUGGCACCAUUUCUCUUAGUUAAGUUCUGACCCACCAUGCCAGUUUAGAUAGGGGUCCAAGUACGACCUCACGAUGAUACAAUGUUGGCCACAUUCGUUGCCUACCUUCACCACAUCAAAUGUUUGAAAUAGACUCCUCCUGAGUAUAAGCACAUACUUUGAACUCCCCCAUGAUAGGGUGAAGACGGUGUAUGAGUCAUAAACGAUUGGAGCCUACCAUGGUGGAAGGCCACGAAGAAGUGUUCAAAGCACCUCUCUGCUUUCAACUUAAUAUUGGAUGUUGGUUGAGGGAUUUUAAGGUCUCAUCAUUUUUUAUUUAUUUAAUCAUAUUCAAAUAAAUUGUGUCCUAUUAUAACUACUAGUCCAAAGUUAAUGAAAUUAGUAGCAUAUGAUAUCCCCACUAUUCGUUUUCAUAAAACAAAUCAAUAUCAAAACAUUUUCAAAAUAUUGGAGAUAUAUAUAACUACUAAUUGUGUUCAUUAUAGUUUAGUAGCGUAUGAUACUCCCACUAUUUGUUUUGAGAAAAACAAAUCAAUAUCAAAAACGAAUUUUUCAAAUAUUGGAAGUAACUACUACUACUAUGGUUUUUGCAUUCCUUUGAAAUUGGACUUUAUAGUUAUCUUAGGCUCUUUGGAUGACCAUGGACUUAUUGGGUUAAUCAAUCAACGAGCCAACAUUGUUGAAUAAGAUCUAGGGAAGGUUGUAUCGUUUUAAUUACGUGCUUUCAAUCCAAUUAAAACAUUUUUUCAUUGAGCCAUUAGAAAUGAAAGACAAUCAUUCAUUGCUAAUUAGGGCGUUGGACCCAAUUAAUCUUUAAUCUCACGUCAAAACCCUCUUUUAAUCAUGUCUCCUUACCAAUAGUUAAAGAAACUCUAGUCUAGUACUAGAGGGAAUCAACUAAUUGAAAGAGAUUAAGAAGUAAUAAGAAUUACAAACCGAUUUGUACAAAUUACAUAUACUAAGAGGGAGAGAAAGAUUAAUGUCUAUCAUGACAAGGUCCAAUUGAAAUAGUAAUUAAAACACAUUCCCAAGGUUCAAACAAUUUGAGUUUAGUGCCCUUUCUCAUAGCUCAAUUAUCGUUUAAGGCAUAAGUCCAUAGUCAACCAUUUUCUAACUACUUAAUCACAUUAAAUAAUUAAUUGGAAUGCAACAUAAACAAUUAGAUUUAGUGCAUAUGGGCAUAAUUGUAUGCUGAGUUUAAACAACUAACAAAAUUAAAAUCAAAAUAUUUUAACUUUUUAGAGAGAUGGGGUCUAAAUGCAAAUAUAAAAAGUUAUGGGUCAAACCGUAAAUACUAGAAAGUAUAAUCAACCUUUUUAAAUUACAAAAUAGCCCUACAAGUGGCCAAUCCACUAGGGUGGCCGGCCAAGUUAAGGGGGGGAUGGGAGGUUUCAAACAUUUUGCUUUAAUUCAAAUUAAAGUAGAAAAACCCAUGCUUUUAUUGCCACUUGACAUGCUUUAUGUACUUUAGUGUAAAGGUGAUGGAAAUUCUCCUAGUCAAGUCUAGGAUUGCUUAAAUUUUGGGAAAGUUAUGGACGGUAAGUUUAUCAUCCAAAAACAUAAAACAAUUUGUGAACACAAAACAAAACCAUUUACACCAAAAAUAAAACCAUGAACACCAAGAACAAAACCAUGAAAACAAUUUCAAGAUUUGUACUUUCUUGGUGAUUUUUCAAACCCAAAAACAAAAGUGACAAGGUCUAGAUUUUCUAGCUUAAAAAAAAUGUGUGAGUGACUUACAAUAAAACACAAACACAAGCCAAAAAAUCCCCCCAAAACUGUGCAAACCCUAUGGAACAAAAAACCCCAAAUUUUGUUCAAAACUCAAUCUUCAUUCUUGUAUCCAAAACACUUUUUGCAUACAUAUCUUUUUCAACUCUUGAUACACAUUUUUCAACAUUUGAAAAACAAAAGAUAAACAUAUUUUGAAUGAAGAAAUAAUAUGUCAAACAUAAAAUUAAAAAACCAUAUGCAUAAAAUUCAAAAGGACACAUCAAAUAUAAACCUUUGGCUCUUGAUACCACUUGAAGGGAAAUAAUGAGAUUUAUAUGGGAUUUCUAGUGACUAACAUGCAUAUACAAUUCAAAAUCUAUAUACACUAGCAACGGAAGCAUUUUAUCACAUAAUAUCAAACCUAUAGUCAUGCAAAUCCCCUUCAAGAAGCAUAAGUUUAUGUGAGAUGCAUCAAAACAUUUUAUUGAAGAACAAAGUGAAGGUGUAGUUUUAUACCUCUUGAUCUUGACUUGAGACCAAGGAUUGACCACCUCCAAGCUCUUUGUUCUUGGAACUCCUUGAGCCUAGCCUCCCUCCUUGCUUCCUCUACCUUGCUAGAAUGAGUGCUCCUUGGUUCUCCUUUAGUCUCCAAGAUUGAAGACCUCUAAAGAUCCACACCCACUAGUGUAGUGAGAUGGAUGG
This 8115-nucleotide long non-coding RNA is filed under the name Malus domestica (apple). RNAcentral's name for it is "long non-coding RNA (MDOM_LNC012310)". Lineage: Eukaryota; Viridiplantae; Streptophyta; Magnoliopsida; Rosales; Rosaceae. The record is from RNAcentral.